UACCAACAUUAUUAUUAUUAUUAUUAACAGUUGUUUAAAUCCAUGCUUUAUUUUCCACAUAGGUUCACUGCACUUUGAUCUUGUAGGAUAACGGUGUUUGGGAUAUCUGUCGCGUUUUGAUCGCUUUUGGAACUACGUUUACCUUGUUUUGGUCAGUAUUCGGAUCAGAGGAAGAGACUGAUGGGCUGAACUUGAUUUCCACUGUACUCUGGGGUCAGAAGCCAUAGCAACGAGAGCCUCCCAAGGGACCCCGAUCUCCGUCAUGCAGAUGACCGGCCUUCAGUUUUUGGUUUUUUUAAUCAGCCUUCCUCAAAUUGCCGAGAGUGGAAUCUUCCAAGACCGCCCUAACGUGGCAAGGAGAGGAAUGCCUGGGUCCAGCCAGAUCACCACUAGACAGCCACCGCAUGCCCGCGGAGGGGAGGCGGGGGCUUGGCUUCAGGUGAGCGGUGGGGUGAGCCAGACUCCGAACAAGGAAGAGCAAGACGCCGAAGCCGCAAAACCCAGAGACAGAAUGUCCUCGAGGUAAUAAUAGCAGCAUCAGAGACAAGAGUACUAAUUUGCCAGCCACGGAUGAGGAACUAUUGGUUCAAUAUGCUAAUGACAUCACAUAGCAACAGCUACAAAAAAAUCGAGUUGAAAAAAAAGCCAUUCUUUGAGCAAUUAUAGCAUUUUAUCGCCCGUCCAAUUCUUCAGCUGUCUCUCCUGAAAGAAGCUGACUUCCACCCGUGCUUGAUGGGCUGGGGCUUAUUUUUUUUUUAAGUACAAGAAAAUUGAUUGAAUAAAAACAACCGCUUGAUUGGGA
Long non-coding RNA from Ornithorhynchus anatinus (platypus), 802 nucleotides. RefSeq lists it as uncharacterized. The record is from RefSeq and is a predicted model, not a curated record. The transcript is spliced from 3 exons. NCBI's taxonomy places the organism in Eukaryota, Metazoa, Chordata, Mammalia, Monotremata, Ornithorhynchidae.